UGUCCAGGGAUGGGAAUCGAACCCACGACCUUCCGCUUACCGGGCAGAUGCCAUGUCCACUAGGCUACCCAGGAC
RNAcentral lists this transfer RNA (75 nucleotides) under Cordylochernes scorpioides. RNAcentral describes it as "tRNA-Thr". The record is from RNAcentral. Lineage: Eukaryota; Metazoa; Arthropoda; Arachnida; Pseudoscorpiones; Chernetidae.